GGCAACCCAAUGUUCAUUCUUUCUGAAAAGAUGAGGAGAACUAAGAAAUCUCUUGUUCAACUUAACUCAUCGGCUGGUAAUCUUUCUAAUAAUGUAUGUAUGUAUCCUUCAGGCCCAGCUCUCUACCAUUCAGUCUUCUCUUCACUCUGAUCCCCACAGCACCUCCUUUCUCAGUCAGGAAUUUCUUUGUAUGCAGUCGCUAUGGAAAG
RNAcentral lists this long non-coding RNA (209 nucleotides) under Panax ginseng (ginseng). RNAcentral describes it as "long non-coding RNA (PGIN_LNC002113)". The record is from RNAcentral. Lineage: Eukaryota; Viridiplantae; Streptophyta; Magnoliopsida; Apiales; Araliaceae.